This 1019-nucleotide long non-coding RNA is filed under the name Carassius auratus (goldfish). Its description in RNAcentral is "lncRNA (ENSCARG00000028354.1)". The record is from RNAcentral. Lineage: Eukaryota; Metazoa; Chordata; Actinopteri; Cypriniformes; Cyprinidae.
CGGAGCUUAACAUGCAAUUCCACAUUAGACAUUGUCUCCAUCUAGUGGUUAUUUCCUGUCACAACAUUUCAGUUGGUAAAUAUGGGAUUAGAAUCCCGCCAAAUGUAUUGCAGUCACAGAUCGAAAAAUAAUAAGCAUAAAUUAAAAAAAUAAAAACACGUGUAAAAUAAUAACGCACAAAACCGAAAAACAAAUGAAUUUUUUUUCAACGCGGUGAUGGAUCUAAAAAUAAUAAGUGUGAAUCAAAAAUGUAAACACAUUUAAAAUUAUAUUGCACAAAACUGAAACAUGUGUUAAAAAAAAAUCCAAAUCGCAAACAAAAUCAGGUUUCCUGCUCACGUGUUAUUUUUUUGUGUGCUUGUGGUCUUUCCCCCUUUGCUCUGGUUUCCACGUUCUGCGCUUGCGUUUCUAAAAGUUGCAGUUAGAGUUUCAUGUAAAUCAGGGCGGGCUUCAGUGUCACUAUUGGCCAACAAGUUCUAGAUUGACAGCUUCUCCUCUAGCCAAUCAGUCCAAGGGGGAGUUGACGUCACUCCAAUGCGACUCAUGGCUGCUGUGAGAGGAUGGAUAACCAGCGUCAGCAGGCAAAUGCCAGACAAUCUCAGCAGACCGAAUACCUGGAUGUGCUUAGUGCAGCACAGAGCCUCAUCUCUGUGCUAACACAGACUCUUAAUCAGAGUCCUGUAACACCACGUCCUCAAGUUCAAGUGCAGGGUCAGGGGCAGCAGGCAGUCUUACCAGAAAGACAGACAAAUACCACCAUUGAUCAGGACAUGGCCAGGGCCUUUCCAAGCAUGUUCCGAAGACAUGCAAUCUGCGGGAAAAAAAGAAUAAAUGUAGCAUCCAGAACACAUACCAAGAAUGCAAAAGCAUUUAAACCUUUUGAUUUAAAUGUAUAUCUUUUGGAUAAAAAUUCUGAGACUACCCCUUCACCUGCACACGAGCUCAAGCUUGUUCAAGCAGGGUUUGGCAAAAGGACAAUCUCAAUUACAAUGGACAUAACACAUUCAGAGGUAUGUUAG